This 253-nucleotide ribosomal RNA is filed under the name uncultured bacterium. RNAcentral describes it as "partial 16S ribosomal RNA". It matches the Rfam family "Bacterial small subunit ribosomal RNA", at positions 524 to 776 of the family's 1533-position model. The record is from RNAcentral.
UACGUAGGGACCGAGCGUUGUCCGGAAUCAUUGGGCGUAAAGAGCGUGUAGGCGGCUGACCAAGUCCUGCGUGAAAUCUUGCGGCUCAACCGCAAGCGGUCGUGGGAAACUGGUCGGCUAGAGUGCGGGAGAGGAGAGUGGAAUUCCUGGUGUAGCGGUGAAAUGCGCAGAUAUCGGGAGGAACACCUAUGGCGAAGGCAGCUCGCUGGGACGUUACUGACGCUGAGACGCGAAAGCGUGGGGAGCAAACAGG